RNAcentral lists this non-coding RNA (161 nucleotides) under uncultured Mediterraneibacter sp. Its description in RNAcentral is "Glycine riboswitch". It matches the Rfam family "Glycine riboswitch aptamer", at positions 9 to 86 of the family's 94-position model. Rfam says of the family: This family represents the bacterial glycine riboswitch. Glycine riboswitches usually consist of two metabolite-binding aptamers domains with similar structures in tandem. Lineage: Bacteria; Bacillati; Bacillota; Clostridia; Lachnospirales; Lachnospiraceae. The record is from RNAcentral.
GUACUCAGGAGAGUCUCUUUUACAGUACCAUACCGGAAAGGCAAGGCGGUAUAUCUGUAGAAGGGCGCCGAAGGUGUAAGCGUUGAUGCUUUGGUAUUCCUGUUCAUGCGGGAAAACGGAGCGAAAACGUGAGUCUCUCAGGCAAAAGGAUGGAGGUAUAA